This 253-nucleotide ribosomal RNA is filed under the name uncultured bacterium. Its description in RNAcentral is "partial 16S ribosomal RNA". It matches the Rfam family "Bacterial small subunit ribosomal RNA", at positions 524 to 776 of the family's 1533-position model. The record is from RNAcentral.
UACGGAGGGGGCGAGCGUUAUUCGGAAUUAUUGGGCGUAAAGGGCGCGUAGGCGGCUCGCUAAGUCAAAGGUGAAAUCCCUCGGCUCAACUGAGGAACUGCCUUUGAAACCGUCGAGCUCGAGUCCGGGAGGGGGUAGCGGAAUUCCCAGUGUAGCGGUGAAAUGCGUAGAUAUUGGGAGGAACACCAGUGGCGAAGGCGGCUACCUGGACCGGUUCUGACGCUGAGGCGCGAAAGCGUGGGUAGCAAACAGG